Molecule: unclassified non-coding RNA, 520 nt
Filed under: uncultured Glomus
Lineage: Eukaryota; Fungi; Glomeromycota; Glomeromycetes; Glomerales; Glomeraceae
Description: SSU rRNA
Rfam family: Eukaryotic small subunit ribosomal RNA
Source: RNAcentral
AGCAGCCGCGGUAAUUCCAGCUCCAAUAGCGUAUAUUAAAGUUGCUGCAGUUAAAAGCUCGUAGUUGAAUUUCGGGACUAAUAUGUCGGUCGUGCCUCGGUACGUACUGGUUUAUUGGUUUCUCCUUUCUGAAGAACCAUGAUGUCAUUUAUUUGGUGUCGUGGGGAAUCAGGACUGUUACUUUGAAAAAUUAGAGUGUUUAAAGCAGGCUCACGCUUGAAUACAUUAGCAUGGAAUAAUGAAAUAGGACGUUUGAUUCUAUUUUGUUGGUUUCUAGGAUCGACGUAAUGAUUAAUAGGGAUAGUUGGGGGCAUUAGUAUACAAUUGUCAGAGGUGAAAUUCUUGGAUUUAUUGAAGACUAACUACUGCGAAAGCAUUUGCCAAGGAUGUUUUCAUUAAUCAAGAACGAAAGUUAGGGAAUCGAAGACGAUCAGAUACCGUCGUAGUCUUAACCAUAAACUAUGCCGACUAGGGAUCGGAUGAUGUUAAUUUUUAUGUACUCAUUCGGCGUCCUUACGGG